RNAcentral lists this ribosomal RNA (230 nucleotides) under uncultured bacterium. RNAcentral describes it as "partial 16S ribosomal RNA". It matches the Rfam family "Bacterial small subunit ribosomal RNA", at positions 104 to 334 of the family's 1533-position model. The record is from RNAcentral.
CGGGGUGGAGUAAUGCUUGGGAAUCUGGCUUAUGGAGGGGGAUAACUACGGGAAACUGUAGCUAAUACCGCGUAGUGUCGAGAGACGAAAGUGCGGGACCGAAAGGCCGCAUGCCAUGAGAUGAGCCCAAGUGGGAUUAGGUAGUUGGUGGGGUAAAGGCCUACCAAGCCUGCGAUCUCUAGCCGGUCUGAGAGGAUGGCCAGCCACACUGGAACUGAGACACAGUCCAG